CGGGGGGAGCAAGCGUUGUUCGGAUUUACUGGGCGUAAAGGGCGCGUAGGCGGCCACCGCAAGUCGACUGUGAAAUCUCCGGGCUUAACCCGGAAAGGUCAGCCGAUACUGCGGGGCUAGAGUGCAGAAGGGGCAACUGGGAAUUCUCGGUGUAGCGGUGAAAUGCGUAGAUAUCGAGAGGAACACCUGCGGCGAAGGCGGGUUGCUGGGCUGACACUGACGCUGAGGCGCGAAAGCUAGGGGAGCGAACGGGAUUAGAUACCCCGGUAGUCCUAGCCUUAAACGAUGAAUGCUUGGUGUCUGGGGUUUUAUAGUCCCCGGGUGCCGUCGCUAACGCUUUAAGCAUUCCGCCUGGGGAGUACGGUCGCAAGACUGA
RNAcentral lists this ribosomal RNA (376 nucleotides) under uncultured organism. Its description in RNAcentral is "bacterial SSU rRNA". It matches the Rfam family "Bacterial small subunit ribosomal RNA", at positions 526 to 897 of the family's 1533-position model. The record is from RNAcentral.